UCCUUACCUCCUUUUCCUUUCAUCUUAACUUUUCCUUCAUUUUUUUUGGGCCAAUUCUUGACUUUUCCUUUAUUUUUUUGGCCAAUUCUUGACUUUCAAAUCCCUGCGUGCUAGAGCAUAUCCCACCAUUUUCACAAAAAUUCAGAUGCUUCCUAUUCCCUCUCUCCUAUUUCAAGCAAAAGGGUACAAAGUGCAAAUAAUAGUCAAACUGAAUCUUUACUUGUUUAUGAAUUGUCAAGGCCAAAUCUUUGAAAAUCUAAAGUAAUAGGGAAAUUCAGUCAAUAUCUCUUAUGAAGAUCUCUUCAAACGGCUCUCUUGGAAUUCAAGACCCGUGACUCCCUAUAUCUUUUUUUUUGAAUUUCAAAACUCAAAUCUCAAUUCUAGCUAUUUUUACCUAUAAAUACUUCCUCAAAGCUCCAGCCUCACCAAGCUGGAAUGACCAGAAAAUUUCCCCCCAAAAAACUAAAUUUAUAUCUACUCUACUUUUCUUUUAAUCUUAAACUUUACAAUCUGUGGAAAAUUUCUCAAUAUUUAAUAUCCAUUUUUAUAUUCUCGAAAACUAAGGAGUAGUAGAUCUAAGCCCUCAAAGUCCUAGUUCACUGCCCCACAAAAGAAAUCGACCCCGACUCUUGUUGGGUACUAUUCUUCCAACGACUGUUUCACUCACUAUUGAGUGCGGAUUGGAUGUGGACUAAUUUUUGGGGCCGUUGCCGGGGAGUUAAAAUGAGGUACAACCAUUGAAGCAAACAAUGAUCUCGGAAAUGUGCCUUUGGGGGAUGUGGAUGGCGAGGAUGAGCAAGUUGAGGAGGUACCUCUUGAACCUCAUGCCAAUCGAAGAGGCCGGGCUCCUCAUGACUAUGUGCCCGCUCCUCCCUACCUCCACCACGAGCGGCUCCACACUGAAUAUUGGCCAACGAAGGUUAUGCUAAUGUAAUAGUCCCUCCCCGUAUUAGGGCGGACAACUUCCAAAUCACCAAUCUGAUGCUCACUUUGCUUGAGCAACGAGAUUUCUUCACCGGUGCUCCAACACAAAAUGCGUAUAAAUAUUUGAAGGAGUUUGUGGACACUUGUUGGGGGAUAAAGCAAACAAAUGUCUCCGAGUAUGCAUUGGAGCUAAGGCUUUUUCCCUUCUCUCUAUGGGGAAAAGCUUCAGAUUUGUUCGAACGAUUGCCGAACAAUUCGAUUUACACUUGGAGUUGGCAGAAAAGUUCAUUUCUAAGUUCUUUCCUCCCGGACACAUGGUUACACUUCGAGAUGAGAUCUUGGCAUUCAGGUAAGAGCCGAAUGAACUAUUACACGAGAUAUGGGAGCGGUAUAGAACAAUGGUUAAGGAAUGUCCCAAUAAUGAUAUGACGGAAAACAUGAUUCAACAAACCUUCUAUCGUGGGAUUAACACAACCAACCAAUGUGUAGUGAAUCAACUAGCAAGUAGGACUUUAUGACUAUGCCUUAUGCGGAUGCAUGUGAGAUUUUGGCUGAAAUGGCGGAAACAUCAUCGGCUUGGCAAUCCUGGGCCAAUGUUCCACGAGGUGACCUGAAUAUGAUCCACCUUCACAAAGAAUUGCAAGACCAUGGGCAAGCCAUUGCCGAAUUGACAACUACCCAUGAUUCAACUAGCAAAGGCCUAACUAAAUCAAGUGCAAACUCCUAAGCAAGUCAAUGAUAUGUAAGGAGUGUACAUGAUGGUGAACAAGAGGAGGACCAAGGGUCCACAAGUGCAAAAUCGAGUGGAAACUUAAGUGCAAGAAGAUCGUGGAUUUGAGCAAAAUGAAUCCUAUAAUAAACAAGAAGUGGAACUACAAUAUGUGAAUAAUUUUCAAGGGCAAAGAAACAACUUCCAAGGCCCAAGCCAACAACAAUGGAGAUCUCAAAACAA
Nicotiana tabacum (common tobacco) is the source of this 1876-nucleotide long non-coding RNA. RefSeq lists it as uncharacterized. Lineage: Eukaryota; Viridiplantae; Streptophyta; Magnoliopsida; Solanales; Solanaceae. The record is from RefSeq and is a predicted model, not a curated record.